UGGGGAAUCUUGCCCAAUGGGCGAAAGCCUGAGGCAGCAACGCCGCGUGUGGGAUGAAGGCCCUUGGGUUGUAAACCACUUUCAGCAGGGACGAAGAUGACGGUACCUGCAGAAGAAGCCCCGGCCAACUACGUGCCAGCAGCCGCGGUAAGACGUAGGGGGCAAGCGUUGACCGGAUUUAUUGGGCGUAAAGAGCUCGUAGGCGGCUCAGAAAGUCGGGUGUGAAACCUCCAGGCUCAACCUGGAGACGCCACCUGAUACUGCUGUGGCUAGAGUCCGGUAGGGGAGCACGGAAUUCCCGGUGUAGCGGUGAAAUGCUUAGAUAUCGGGAGGAACACCAGUGGCGAAGGCGGUGCUCUGGGCCGGAACUGACGCUGAGGAGCGAAAGCGUGGGUAGCAAACAGG
This 405-nucleotide ribosomal RNA is filed under the name bacterium. RNAcentral describes it as "partial 16S ribosomal RNA". It matches the Rfam family "Bacterial small subunit ribosomal RNA", at positions 355 to 776 of the family's 1533-position model. The record is from RNAcentral.